CAGCCGCCGCGGUAAUACGAAGGGGGCUAGCGUUGUUCGGAUUUACUGGGCGUAAAGGGUGCGUAGGCGGAUUGUUAAGUCAGGGGUGAAAUCCCGAGGCUCAACCUCGGAACUGCCUUUGAUACUGGCGAUCUUGAGUCCGGGAGAGGUGAGUGGAACUGCGAGUGUAGAGGUGAAAUUCGUAGAUAUUCGCAAGAACACCGGUGGCGAAGGCGGCUCACUGGCCCGGUACUGACGCUGAGGCACGAAAGCGUGGGGAGCAAACAGGAUUAGAUACCCCAGUAGUCCCUGUCUCUUAUAC
RNAcentral lists this ribosomal RNA (301 nucleotides) under uncultured bacterium. RNAcentral's name for it is "partial 16S ribosomal RNA". It matches the Rfam family "Bacterial small subunit ribosomal RNA", at positions 509 to 807 of the family's 1533-position model. The record is from RNAcentral.